Non-coding RNA from Phyllostomus hastatus (greater spear-nosed bat), 476 nucleotides. The record is from the annotation of a RefSeq genome assembly. NCBI's taxonomy places the organism in Eukaryota, Metazoa, Chordata, Mammalia, Chiroptera, Phyllostomidae.
CAGAACACUGGGGCAUCCCCACCAUGGCCUGGACUCCACUCUCCCUCCUCAUCUUCCUCCUUCACUGCACAGGUUCCCUCUCCCAGCCUGUGCUGACUCAGCCGCCGUCCAUCUCUGUGUCUCCGGGAGCAAUAGCUGCACUCACCUGCACCCUGAGCAGUGGCUUUGUUGUUGGCUCCUACUAUAUAUUCUGGUUCCAGCAGAAGCCAGGGAGACCUCCCUGGUACCUCCUGGGUUAUAAAUCAGACUCAGAGAAGCACCAGGGCUCCGGGGUCCCCAGCCGUUUCUCUGGAUCCAAACAUGCCUCAGCCAAUGCAGGGCUCCUGCUCAUCUCGGGGCUGCAGCCUGAGGAUCAGGCUGACUACUACUGCGGUGCAUGGGACAGCAGCAUUGACACUUACACGGUGCUCCAGAGUCAUGGGGAAGUGAGACUGAAACCUCCCUGUGCUCUUUCUGCCUGUGGCUGUCACCCCUGA